Molecule: ribosomal RNA, 292 nt
Filed under: uncultured bacterium
Lineage: Bacteria
Description: partial 16S ribosomal RNA
Rfam family: Bacterial small subunit ribosomal RNA
Source: RNAcentral
GUGCCAGCAGCCGCGGUAAUACGUAGGGGUCGAGCGUUGUCCGGAGUUACUGGGCGUAAAGCGCGUGCAGGUGGCUCAUUACGCCCGGCGUGAAAGCCCCCGGCUCAACCGGGGAGGGUCGUCGGGGACGGGUGAGCUUGAGGGUAGCAGGGGCUGGUAGAAUUCCCGGUGUAGUGGUGAAAUGCGUAGAGAUCGGGAGGAAUACCCGUGGCGAAGGCGGCCAGCUGGGCUACACCUGACACUGAGACGCGAAGGCGUGGGGAGCGAACGGGAUUAGAAACCCCAGUAGUCC